RNAcentral lists this ribosomal RNA (216 nucleotides) under uncultured bacterium. RNAcentral describes it as "partial 16S ribosomal RNA". It matches the Rfam family "Bacterial small subunit ribosomal RNA", at positions 118 to 351 of the family's 1533-position model. The record is from RNAcentral.
UGGGAAUCUGCCCUUGGGUUCGGGAUAACAGUUGGAAACGACUGCUAAUACCGGAUGAUGACUUCGGUCCAAAGAUUUAUCGCCCAGGGAUGAGCCCGCGUAAGGUUAGCUAGUUGGUGGGGUAAAGGCCUACCAAGGCGACGAUCCGUAGCUGGUCUGAGAGGAUGAUCAGCCACACUGGGACUGAGACACGGCCCAGACUCCUACGGGAGGCAG